Malurus melanocephalus (red-backed fairy wren) is the source of this 226-nucleotide long non-coding RNA. RefSeq lists it as uncharacterized. The record is from RefSeq and is a predicted model, not a curated record. The transcript has 4 exons. Lineage: Eukaryota; Metazoa; Chordata; Aves; Passeriformes; Maluridae.
CAGGGCCCCGCUGGCCCCGAAGGCCUGGACGGCAAGGACGGCAAGCCGGGUCUGCGGGGUGACCCCGGUCCCCCCGGGCCACCAGGGAUGAUGGGUCCCCCGGGCUUCAAGGGCAAGACGGGACACCCGGGGCUGCCGGGACCGAAGGGUGACUGCGGCAAACCCGGCCCCCCGGGGAGCACGGGCCGGCCGGGGGCGGAGGUGAGUGACCCCUGGGGUGAGUGAC